AGGGGGGAGGGGACAAGUACUGAACAAAAGUAAAAUAAUCAUGUUAAUGAAGUAAAUGUUGUUUUUUUUUCUUUUACAAUGUAAAAGCCAAUAAUAAUAUCACAAACAUGGUACGCCACAUAGAUCAGUGACAGCAUCACUUACUAUUCAAAAAAUGAGAUUAUUCAAGUUAUACAUGUCCCAACAAAAUACGAUUAUUACAUCUUACUCAUGUUACUAUGUUGAUUGACUAUUUAUUGUCAUAUAUAUACAAAAAAUAGCAUUUAUAGCAUUAUAUAUAAGCAUACAAUACGUAAUUUCAUUACACAUAAACUUGGGCUAUGCACUUAGUCCCAGUGGUAUUUGAAAAGAAAAGAGUUUGUUUCUGAGUAUUUUUAUUUUUAUGUUUUGUUUAGUGUUUUAUGUAUUGCUGCAAUCUUUCUUUUUAAAUCUUUAACCACAAGUGUCUCUACAAGUAGUUGUUUUACCAGCAUCAUAGAAUUUCAACUUUUUUCAAAUUCUUAGUUGGAUUCAUCAGUUUCCUAGUGAGCACCUGUUUAAGGUUUGAAUUUUGACCCAUUUUAAAUGAUUGUUACCUAUAUAACCUGGAUAUUACAUAUGUAUAUGUGACUGUCAAUAGUAAAUGCAGAGCACUACAAGUGUAGUCUAGAUCUAAAUGUAUAGUUUUAUUGUUGCUGACUAAAGUUUAAGUUUGAUGGAGAAGCUUGUUUUAUUCAUUGAAUCAACAGAAACACAUUUCUGAUGUACCAGCCUAACAUAUUUUUCCCUAGACUUGACCAUCAAUUGGACAAUGCAAUGCCAUUAGAAAACAAAAUUUCAAUUACCAAAAUUUCAAUUAUCGGUAUAAGUUUGAGGUCACUUAAAACAGGAUUUUCAAAUCCUUGGUGAUUAAAUGAGUCGUUGACACACAAUGUAGGAAGAAACAGUUUAUUGACAUUGUAAGCAAUCUUUUGUGACUUCCAAGUGAUGCCAUCAUUUAUUGUUAUAGACUACAUGGGACAGUUAGCGUUACAUUUUGUUUUUGUCUUAAGCAAUAGCAUUGUGUAACUCUUGUAGUCUUAUUUUCUUGUUUUAGAUCUGCAAUUUAGAAUUAAUAAAUUUAUUAUAUUACAAUGAUAAAUUUAUGACUUUAUAGAAAUACUUAUCACAUCACUAUGAAAGAUUUAUAACUUUACAGAAAUACUUAUCACAUCAGAAUUCCCUACGACUAUUAUACAUCAACCUGACAAAGUAGCUUAUCCAAAAAGUGGGAAAACAUAUGAGUCCAUGAAGAAAUUUCCAUAUAAUGUAUUUUAAUACAACUAGAAAAUAAAAAUGUCCAAAGCAAAAGAAUGAUGUAAAUUCUUUCAGGUCUUCCACUUAAAAGUUUUGAAACAUUGAUCUGUAUUUUGACUGUAUAAAAUUCUGAAGAAGUAGCAAUUAGUUUUUAGAUUCAAAAUGUUUAUUUUUUUAAGACAAUUAGUUUACUCUAAAUCCAAAGCAGAAUAAGGAAAAACCGAGUCCCUCAUUAUUGAAGUGCAAGUGAUCAAUAGAUGUAUGCUUUGAAUUAAAAUAUCUACACUGUAAAAAUAAGGCCUAGAAGAUUACUUUCAUCUUCUAAGUUUAAAAUCAUUGGAAACUACAGUCAUAACAUUCAAGUUAAGAAUCACUACAAAGGAAAAAAACAUGAAAUGUUUUUAUGCAUACAAUGCUUGAGUAAAACCAAUGUUAAAUAGAUUCAACUCUUCCACCUGUCCAGUACACUAAAUGUCCAGUACAGUAAAUGUAGUCC
This is a non-coding RNA of Biomphalaria pfeifferi, 1771 nucleotides long. The record is from the annotation of a GenBank genome assembly. NCBI's taxonomy places the organism in Eukaryota, Metazoa, Mollusca, Gastropoda, Planorbidae.